GACGAACGCUGGCGGCGUGCUUAACACAUGCAAGUCGAACGGAAAGGCCCUGCUUUUGUGGGGUGCUCGAGUGGCGAACGGGUGAGUAACACGUGAGUAACCUGCCCUUGACUUUGGGAUAACUUCAGGAAACUGGGGCUAAUACCGGAUAGGAGCUCCUGCUGCAUGGUGGGGGUUGGAAAGUUUCGGCGGUUGGGGAUGGACUCGCGGCUUAUCAGCUUGUUGGUGGGGUAGUGGCUUACCAAGGCUUUGACGGGUAGCCGGCCUGAGAGGGUGACCGGCCACAUUGGGACUGAGACACGGCCCAGACUCCUACGGGAGGCAGCAGUGGGGAAUAUUGCACAAUGGGCGGAAGCCUGAUGCAGCAACGCCGCGUGCGGGAUGACGGCCUUCGGGUUGUAAACCGCUUUCGCCUGUGACGAAGCGUGAGUGACGGUAAUGGGUAAAGAAGCACCGGCUAACUACGUGCCAGCAGCCGCGGUGAUACGUAGGGUGCGAGCGUUGUCCGGAUUUAUUGGGCGUAAAGGGCUCGUAGGUGGUUGAUCGCGUCGGAAGUGUAAUCUUGGGGCUUAACCCUGAGCGUGCUUUCGAUACGGGUUGACUUGAGGAAGGUAGGGGAGAAUGGAAUUCCUGGUGGAGCGGUGGAAUGCGCAGAUGUCAGGAGGAACACCAGUGGCGAAGGCGGUUCUCUGGGCCUUUCCUGACGCUGAGGAGCGAAAGCGUGGGGAGCGAACAGGCUUAGAUACCCUGGUAGUCCACGCUGUAAACGGUGGGUACUAGGUGUGGGGUCCAUUCCACGGGUUCCGUGCCGUAGCUAACGCUUUAAGUACCCCGCCUGGGGAGUACGGCCGCAAGGCUAAAACUCAAAGGAAUUGACGGGGCCCCGCACAAGCGGCGGAGCAUGCGGAUUAAUUCGAUGCAACGCGUAGAACCUUACCUGGGUUUGACAUGGAUCGGGAGCGCUCAGAGAUGGGUGUGCCUCUUUUGGGGUCGGUUCACAGGUGGUGCAUGGCUGUCGUCAGCUCGUGUCGUGAGAUGUUGGGUUAAGUCCCGCAACGAGCGCAACCCUUGUUCACUGUUGCCAGCACGUUAUGGUGGGGACUCAGUGGAGACCGCCGGGGUCAACUCGGAGGAAGGUGGGGAUGACGUCAAGUCAUCAUGCCCCUUAUGUCCAGGGCUUCACGCAUGCUACAAUGGCUGGUACAGAGAGUGGCGAGCCUGUGAGGGUGAGCGAAUCUCGGAAAGCCGGUCUCAGUUCGGAUUGGGGUCUGCAACUCGACCUCAUGAAGUCGGAGUCGCUAGUAAUCGCAGAUCAGCAACGCUGCGGUGAAUACGUUCCCGGGGC
RNAcentral lists this ribosomal RNA (1345 nucleotides) under uncultured bacterium. RNAcentral's name for it is "bacterial SSU rRNA". It matches the Rfam family "Bacterial small subunit ribosomal RNA", at positions 28 to 1380 of the family's 1533-position model. The record is from RNAcentral.